RNAcentral lists this ribosomal RNA (468 nucleotides) under uncultured bacterium. RNAcentral describes it as "partial 16S ribosomal RNA". It matches the Rfam family "Bacterial small subunit ribosomal RNA", at positions 28 to 507 of the family's 1533-position model. The record is from RNAcentral.
GACGAACGCUGGCGGCGUGCUUAACACAUGCAAGUCGAACGGAAAGGCCCGGCUUUGGUGGGGUGCUCGAGGGGCGAAGGGGGGAGUAACACGUGAGUAACCUGUCCUUGACCGAGGGAGAACUUCAGGAAAGUGGGGCUAAUAGCGGAUAGGAUCUCCUGCUGCAUGGUGGGGGUGGGAAAGUUUCGGCUGUUGGGGGUGGACUCGCGGCUUAUGAGCUUGUUGGUGGGGUAGUGGGUUAGCAUGGCUUUGACGGGUGGCCGGCCUGAGCGGGUGACCGGCCCCGCUGGGCCUGGGAUACGGCCCAGCCUCCUCCGGUACGCAGCACUGCAGAAUAUUGCACUAUGGGCGGAAGCCUGAUGCGGCCACGCCGCGUGCGGGAUGACGGCCUUCGGGUUGUAAUCCGCUUUCGCCUGUGCCGGGGCGUUAGUGACGGUACUGGGUAAAGAAGCACCGGCUAACUACGUG